Molecule: regulatory RNA element, 74 nt
Organism: Desulfopila aestuarii DSM 18488
Lineage: Bacteria; Pseudomonadati; Thermodesulfobacteriota; Desulfobulbia; Desulfobulbales; Desulfocapsaceae
Rfam family: c-di-GMP-I-GGC riboswitch aptamer
Source: Rfam
UAACUCAAUGCCAAACCUGUCGCGAGGCAGGGACGGAAAGCUACGGGGCUUAUAAGCUAGCCGGGUUGCAUCUU